RNAcentral lists this unclassified non-coding RNA (197 nucleotides) under plant metagenome. Its description in RNAcentral is "partial contains small subunit ribosomal RNA and internal transcribed spacer 1". The stretch from base 1 to 46 matches the Rfam family "Eukaryotic small subunit ribosomal RNA", at positions 1786 to 1831 of the family's 1831-position model. The record is from RNAcentral.
AAGUCGUAACAAGGUCUCCGUAGGUGAACCUGCGGAGGGAUCAUUACCGAGCGAGGGCCCCCGGGCCCGACCUCCAACCCUUUGUAUUCCGACUCUGUUGCCUCGGGGGCGACCCGGCCUUCGGGCGUCGGGGCCCCCGGUGGACUCCUCCAACCCUGCAUCGUUGCGUCCGAGUCACACUUUGAAUUAAAUCAAAA